CUUCAUUGCGCGCUUCCUUGGCGUCGGCCUGUGGGCUCCCCUUCGAAGUCGUUCUUGACGCUUGAACACCCAUGGACGCAGGGUCUGAGCAGUGUGUCGUGCGGGUAACGGGCGAGGUUAAACCUCGGUAAAGGCGCAAGGGAAUGCUGGAUUGGUUGGGGGCAUUCUACUCGCAUUAUUAGACGUGUGGGUAUAUCGCAGAGUGUACAGUUAAAUGUGAGUGGUAGUAUACGCUAUUAUGCAGUACGCGCACUUGGAAUUAAGGAGCCGUAGGAGGUUGGUCGUACGACCGAGAUUGCUGGCCGCGCCGCGUGGACCGAGUUCUUACUUUCUCUGGUGAAGGGUGUCUGGGAUCGUGGAGAGCCAUAGGACCCUCGGGUCGGCUGGGACCCGAAAAGUGGUGACACUAUGCCUGAGCGGAAAAUGGGGCGAAGGGCCAUAAGGGACACUCAUGGUGGAACGGCCCGCAGCGGAUACUUGCCCAAGACAGAUGAUGCAAUAACGUUCAUUCGUACCUUCCAGAAUUUCUGAACUGGUCUGUGGAGUAAUAGGGGCGAUAAGACUAAUACGAGAAAACCAGUCUUAGGAUAAGCUGGUUUCCCAGGCUUAUGCGGUUCCGAGGUUUCCCCUAGAUAGCUGGAGGCCAGCCGAGGGAGCGAGUUCUAUCGGGUAACGCCAAUGAUUAGAGGGCAGUCGGCCGGGCGGCACGCACAUCAGAGGCCUCAUGCUGGUAGAGACCUAUUACAUACGAAACUUUAAAUAGGCUAGGACGGUGUGGCCUGCUUUGUUUCCGAGCCAUGCCAUGGAAUCGAGAGCUCCAAGUGGGCCAUUUUUUGUAAGCAGAACUGGCGAUGCGGGAUGAACCGGAAGCUGGGUUACGGUGCCCAACUGCGCGCUAACCUAGACCCCACAAAGGGUGUUGGUCGAUUAAGACAGCAGGACGGUGGUCAUGGAAGUCGAAAUCCGCUAAGGAGUGUGUAACAACUCCCCUGCCGAAUCAACUAGCCCCGAAAAUGGAUGGCGCUAAAGCGCGCGACCUAUACCCGGCCGUUGGGGCAAGGGCCAGGCCCCGAUGAGUAGGAGGGCGCGGCGUUCGCUGCAAAACCCGGGGCGCGAGCCUGGGCGGAGCGGUUGAACGAGGUCGGGUGACCAUAGUACUCCCUUCUUGAUUCUAAGCCUAAUAUCCGGCGUAGAAUAGCAAAAUAUUCUAUCAAUAUUCGAAACUUGAAGGCCGAAGAGGGGAAAGGUUUCCAUGUGAACGGCACUUGCACAUGGGUUAGUCGAUUCCCCUAAAGGGACGGGGAGCCCGUCUGAUAGCGCUUAAGCGGCGGUACACCGAAAAGGAAUCGGGCUAUUAAGGGUGUUUCUUUUUAAAAAUUCCUGGACCGGCGACCGUUGCGGUGGCGCACUGGCAACCGUUUGAUAGGGAGGUCCAGCGAGACGUAUGGCGGGGGCCCCGGAAAGAAGUUAUCUUUUUCUGUUUCACAGCCCUGUGCCCACGCCUGGAAACGGCUCAGAGCCGGACGGAGGGAGUCCAGCGGCUGGAGCGCACAAAAGAGCAGCACGUCGUGCUGGGUGUUCCGUGUGGCCCCUUGGCGCCCUUGAAAAAUACCGGAGGACCGAGGUGGCCUUUUCCGUCGCCGGUCGUACUCAUAACCGCCAUCAGUUCUCCAAGGUGGAACAGCCUGCUGGUCGAUGGAACAAUGUAGGCAAGGGAAGUCGGGCAAAAUGGAUCCCGUAAAAACCUCGGGAAAAGGAAUUGGCCUGAGGGCUGGGCGACGGGCGGGGCCAGGGGUCCCCAGUUUCGAAUCCCGUCGUGCCUGUUGGUGGACUGCUUGAGCUGCUCCCGCGGCGAGAGCGGGUCGCCGCGUGCCGGUCGGGGGACGGAUUGGGAACGGGGCCUUCGGGGCCUCUUCCCCGGGCAUCGAACUACGAUUCAACUCAAACUGGUACGGACAAGGGGGAUCCGACUGUUAAUAUAAACAAAGCAUUGCGAUGGUUCCCUGCGGAUGUUGACGCCAUGUGAUUUCCUGCCCAGUGCUCUGACAUGUCAAAGUGAAGAAAUUCAACCAAGCGCGGGUAAAAGGCGGGAGUACUAUGACUCUCUAAGGUAGCCAAAUGCCUCGUCAUCUAAUUAGUGACGCGCAUGAAUGGAUUAACGAGAUUC
RNAcentral lists this ribosomal RNA (2167 nucleotides) under Cicer arietinum (chickpea). RNAcentral's name for it is "eukaryotic LSU rRNA". The stretch from base 477 to 2167 matches the Rfam family "Eukaryotic large subunit ribosomal RNA", at positions 1 to 2335 of the family's 3401-position model. The record is from RNAcentral. Lineage: Eukaryota; Viridiplantae; Streptophyta; Magnoliopsida; Fabales; Fabaceae.